This 484-nucleotide ribosomal RNA is filed under the name uncultured bacterium. RNAcentral's name for it is "partial 16S ribosomal RNA". It matches the Rfam family "Bacterial small subunit ribosomal RNA", at positions 29 to 507 of the family's 1533-position model. The record is from RNAcentral.
AUUGAACGCUGGCGGCAUGCUUUACACAUGCAAGUCGAACGGCAGCGCGGGCUUCGGCCUGGCGGCGAGUGGCGAACGGGUGAGUAAUACAUCGGAACGUGCCCAGUAGUGGGGGAUAGCUCGGCGAAAGCCGGAUUAAUACCGCAUACGACCUGAGGGUGAAAGCGGGGGAUCUUCGGACCUCGCGCUAUUGGAGCGGCCGAUGGCAGAUUAGCUAGUUGGUGGGGUAAAGGCCUACCAAGGCGACGAUCUGUAGCUGGUCUGAGAGGACGACCAGCCACCCUGGGACUGAGACCCGGCCCCGGCUCCUACGGGAGGCAGCAGUGGGGAAUUUUGGACAAUGGGCGAAAGCCUGAUCCAGCAAUGCCGCGUGUGUGAUGAAGGCCUUCGGGUUGUAAAGCACUUUUGGCGGGAACGAAAAGGACUGUGCCAAUACCACGGUUCGAUGACGGUACCCGCAGAAUAAGCACCGGCUAACUACGAG